UACGUAGGGGGCAAGCGUUGUCCGGAAUCAUUGGGCGUAAAGCGCGUGUAGGCGGUUCGGUAAGUCUGCUGUGAAAGUCCAGGGCUCAACCCUGGGAUGCCGGUGGAUACUGUCGGACUAGAGUACGGAAGAGGCGAGUGGAAUUCCCGGUGUAGCGGUGAAAUGCGCAGAUAUCAGGAGGAACACCAAUAGCGAAGGCAGCUCGCUGGGACGUUACUGACACUAAGGCGCGAAAGCGUGGGGAGCGAACAGG
This 253-nucleotide ribosomal RNA is filed under the name uncultured bacterium. RNAcentral describes it as "partial 16S ribosomal RNA". It matches the Rfam family "Bacterial small subunit ribosomal RNA", at positions 524 to 776 of the family's 1533-position model. The record is from RNAcentral.